RNAcentral lists this ribosomal RNA (227 nucleotides) under uncultured bacterium. Its description in RNAcentral is "partial 16S ribosomal RNA". It matches the Rfam family "Bacterial small subunit ribosomal RNA", at positions 109 to 334 of the family's 1533-position model. The record is from RNAcentral.
AGUAACGCGUGAGGAACCUGCCUCAAAGAGGGGGACAACAGUUGGAAACGACUGCUAAUACCGCAUAAGCCCACAGCUCGGCAUCGAGCAGAGGGAAAAGGAGCAAUCCGCUUUGAGAUGGCCUCGCGUCCGAUUAGCUAGUUGGUGAGGUAAUGGCCCACCAAGGCAACGAUCGGUAGCCGGACUGAGAGGUUGAACGGCCACAUUGGGACUGAGACACGGCCCAG